Molecule: ribosomal RNA, 198 nt
Filed under: uncultured bacterium
Lineage: Bacteria
Description: partial 16S ribosomal RNA
Rfam family: Bacterial small subunit ribosomal RNA
Source: RNAcentral
ACGCUCGACACCUACAGGAGGCAGCAGUGGGGAAUAUUGCACAAUGGGGGAAACCCUGAUGCAGCGACGCCGCGUGAGCGAAGAAGUAUUUCGGUAUGUAAAGCUCUAUCAGCAGGGAAGAAACUGACGGUACCUGACUAAGAAGCACCGGCUAAAUACGUGCCUGCAGCCGCGGUAAUCUGAGCGGGCUGGCAAGGC